This 392-nucleotide long non-coding RNA is filed under the name Hordeum vulgare. Its description in RNAcentral is "long non-coding RNA (HVUL_LNC007128)". The record is from RNAcentral. Lineage: Eukaryota; Viridiplantae; Streptophyta; Magnoliopsida; Poales; Poaceae.
CUGGCGAGGGCGGCGAGGAAGCCGCGGGGCUCGAGGUUGGUGACGGUGGUGAUGACGACCUUGUCGGUGGAUUCGGAGUCGGUCGGAGGAGGAGUUGGGGUCGCACGUGCAGGGGCAUCCCGACGGUGAUGUCCCAAGCAUGGGCGAUGGCAGCAAUGAAGGUGAGGCCGGUGUUGGCGCGGACGAGGUCGUCGACAUCGGGGGCGGCGAGGAAGGGCUUGACGGCUGCGGCGGGGUGGAGGUCAUCUGAGUACUCGGUGCCGAUGGAGGAGACGAGUGGGGAUUCAGUGGAUGGGUGGGUGGAGGGGGAGUGGAGGCGUGUGGCCACCAGUGGUGGUGGCCCUUGGUCUUGGCCCAGACCAGCUCCUCGGUGGCUAGGGUUUGGGGCGGGG